RNAcentral lists this ribosomal RNA (498 nucleotides) under uncultured bacterium. Its description in RNAcentral is "partial 16S ribosomal RNA". It matches the Rfam family "Bacterial small subunit ribosomal RNA", at positions 28 to 523 of the family's 1533-position model. The record is from RNAcentral.
GAUGAACGCUAGCGGCAGGCUUAACACAUGCAAGUCGAGGGGCAGCACGGACUUCGGUCUGGUGGCGACCGGCAAACGGGUGCGGAACACGUACACAAUCUACCUUUAUCUGGGGUAUAGCCCGAAGAAAUUCGGAUUAAUCCCCCAUAAUAUAUUAGAGUGGCAUCACUUCGAUAUUAAAACUCCGGUGGAUAAAGAUGAGUGUGCGUCCCAUUAGCUAGUUGGUAGGGUAACGGCCUACCAAGGCAACGAUGGGUAGCUGGUGUGAGAGCACGACCAGCCGCACGGGCACUGAGACACGGGCCCGACUCCUACGGGAGGCAGCAGUGAGGAAUAUUGGUCAAUGGACGCAAGUCUGAACCAGCCAUGCCGCGUGAAGGAUGAAGGCCUUCUGGGUUGUAAACUUCUUUUAUUGGGGAAGAAAAUUACGGUUUCUACUGUAACCGACGGUACCCAAGGAAUAAGCACCGGCUAACUCCGUGCCAGCCGCCGCGGUAA